GUAAUGCAUGUUCAAUCCUUUCUUCCAGGUUCUGAGGAGAUAUAAGAGAGAUACAGACAAGAGCAAGAAAAACAUUUGUUCCCUCUACCAUUUAUUAUAGCAAUGCCUAUUCUUACAAAGAACUCAAGAGCCUGACUAUAGAAGGUUAAGGAAGCAAAGACUUGUUAGUGUUCAAGUCUUUAUAUAA
Molecule: long non-coding RNA, 187 nt
Organism: Brassica napus (rape)
Lineage: Eukaryota; Viridiplantae; Streptophyta; Magnoliopsida; Brassicales; Brassicaceae
Exons: 2
Source: RefSeq, a predicted model, not a curated record